AGAGUUUGAUCCUGGCUCAGAACGAACGCUGGCGGCGCGCCUAACACAUGCAAGUCGAACGCGAAAGGGGGCAACCCUGAGUAAAGUGGCGCACGGGUGAGUAACGCGUAGGUGAUCUACCUUUGCGACCGGGAUAACCAGCCGAAAGGUUGGCUAAUACUGGAUAGAGCGCACUGAAUGUAAGGUUUGGUGCGGGAAAU
This 200-nucleotide ribosomal RNA is filed under the name uncultured bacterium. RNAcentral's name for it is "partial 16S ribosomal RNA". It matches the Rfam family "Bacterial small subunit ribosomal RNA", at positions 8 to 206 of the family's 1533-position model. The record is from RNAcentral.